GAUGAACGCUGGCGGCGUGCCUAAUACAUGCAAGUCGAGCGAACAGACGAGGAGCUUGCUCCUCUGACGUUAGCGGCGGACGGGUGAGUAACACGUGGAUAACCUACCUAUAAGACUGGGAUAACUUCGGGAAACCGGAGCUAAUACCGGAUAAUAUAUUGAACCGCAUGGUUCAAUAGUGAAAGACGGUUUUGCUGUCACUUAUAGAUGGAUCCGCGCCGCAUUAGCUAGUUGGUAAGGUAACGGCUUACCAAGGCAACGAUGCGUAGCCGACAUGAGAGGGUGAUCGGCCACACUGGAACUGAGACACGGUCCAGACUCCUACGGGAGGCAGCAGUAGGGAAUCUUCCGCAAUGGGCGAAAGCCUGACGGAGCAACGCCGCGUGAGUGAUGAAGGUCUUCGGAUCGUAAACCUCUGUUAUUAGGGAAGAACAAAUGUGUAAGUAACUAUGCACGUCUUGACGGUACCUAAUCAGAAAGCCACGGCUAACUACGUG
RNAcentral lists this ribosomal RNA (497 nucleotides) under uncultured bacterium. RNAcentral describes it as "partial 16S ribosomal RNA". It matches the Rfam family "Bacterial small subunit ribosomal RNA", at positions 28 to 507 of the family's 1533-position model. The record is from RNAcentral.